UGCAGUAGGGUAGAGAGUCCGCACUUGCGCGGCGGCCGAACUGAGAGAGAAUUAGUCCCUGCGGUCCCACAAGACGGGCCCCGCUGCCCUUGGUGACCCUGCGCUCCGGCCUCGGGGCGAAGUGUGCAGGGGGAGCUGAACCAUUGCAACAGCACGGGCGCCCUGGAGAUGCACGAGCGGGUGGAGCAGCUGAAGCAGAGCAUACACCGCGUGCACCUCUACUCCCGGGACACCAAGAAGAGGAGAAGGAAGCCAAGACAGAAGAAACCAGAACCCAUCCUCUUACGGGACCAGUCGACCUCCCCAUGCCUGCCACCGACCCCACUGCCACCUCUGCCACUGCCACCACCAUGGUCUCCGUGGUGACCCCGUCACCCCCUGUCUAUACUAUGCCUAGGGUCCUUGGUCCCUUCCCUCCACUGCCCUGCACGUCAGUCAGUGGGAGCCUCCCCCACUCCAGGCAGUCCUGGGUGCCCCCUGCUCAGAACAAUCCCAGGGGCUCUCCUGGGCCUGUAGCUGUGGCUCUCAGCCCUCUGCUUUCAAGCAGCAGACCCCUCUUUGCAGACAGGGUCUUCAUGGAUAAAGCAGAUAAACGGGGUUUGCCCUGGUUAAGGCAUUGGGUGAGGUUGAAGGCACCAAGGGGCUCCACCUUCUUGACUUUAGGCAAGCAAGGCAGCCCCAGGCGCACCAGACAGGAUCCUGGGGCUCCCAAAGGACAGGUGGAAAACCAGAGGGCCCCUCCCACAUCUCCAGCACCAGUCCUGCCUCUCCCUGUGGGCAUGGCUCCCCACGCUAUCCUCUGCCUGCAGUGUACUGGGUUAGAGCCAGGAUGGUGUCUGGCCCCAGGGAGGUGCAGAGGCAUGCUUACCAGGGGAAGCCAGGGCAAUGGAGCUUGGGCGUGCUGUUUCCAGCCACAUAGGAGAAAUGGAAGCCUCCAGGGUUGAGAACCAAGGGAGUCAGAUCAACCAUGCGGCUGCAAGACAGGGCAGAGAGGGGACAUCAGCCCCAGGCCCCUCCACACCUCAUGUGCAGUUCUACAGCAUGGGCACAGGUACUGCCCACACAGUCGACCUCUGAGCCCAGACCCCUCCCCUGUAAAAUGAGAAUAAGCACUCAGGAUGAUUGUGAGGAUUAACUAACAUAUUGAGAAGAAAUGGUGACUGAGCCUGGCACAUGGGACACUCCCCAAAAUGCUCCUUUUUCAUUUCCCUCAAGCCCAGAGUAAACCCCUUCGACCUCCUUGCGUUUCAUGACAGGCCAUUCCAGUUUAAUUUCACUUCAGAUCUUGAAAUGUUCAAAUUCUUCGCUUGGAGGAUAGAAAGGAAAUCUCAGGACGAGUUUGUUGGCCUCAGUUAAAGAAAAGUACUUUACAGAAGAGCCAUAAGAAUGACGUGGCUUUCAUUCACUCGGCAGAUACAUUGGGACCAUCUCUUGUGCCUACCUUGAGCUUGGUUAGGGGUACAGGAGAUGGGAUCGGGGGCGCUGGGAACUAAGGAGGUCUUAACCCAGCCUGGGGGAUGGAGGACUGCCUGGAGGUGGAGGCCAGCCCUGAAUGAGUCACACAGGCUAAGUGGGGAAUCAAGAGGUGCAGGCAGUUAGGCCACCACACCUGGCCGUUCAUCUUUUUUAGCAUUGAAUAAUAUUCCAUUGCCUGGAUAUGCCACAUUUUAUCAUUCACCCAGUGAAGGAUAUCCUGGUUGCUUCCAAGUUUUGGCAGUUAUGAAUACAGCAGCUAUAAACAUCUGUGUGGAGGUUUUAGACUGGACAUAACUGUUCAGCUCAUUUGGGUAAAUACCAAGGAGCAUGCUUGCUGAAUCAUAGGGUACGAUAACCAAACUAUCUUCCAAAAUGACUGUACCAUUUUGCAUUCAGCAAUGAAUAAGAAUUCAGAGGACUUGGCACAGUGGCUGAUGCCUGUAAUCCCAGCA
Cercocebus atys (sooty mangabey) is the source of this 1928-nucleotide long non-coding RNA. RefSeq lists it as uncharacterized. The transcript has 3 exons. The record is from RefSeq and is a predicted model, not a curated record. NCBI's taxonomy places the organism in Eukaryota, Metazoa, Chordata, Mammalia, Primates, Cercopithecidae.